RNAcentral lists this long non-coding RNA (1127 nucleotides) under Pongo abelii (Sumatran orangutan). RNAcentral's name for it is "lincRNA". The record is from RNAcentral. Lineage: Eukaryota; Metazoa; Chordata; Mammalia; Primates; Hominidae.
GUCCCCCGGAGCUUGGUGGUGUCCCGGGACGGUCCUCCCAGGAAAUAUUUUGAACAAGUUGCUGAAGUGCCUGAUGGACGUGGCUCUCGUCACGAAAUGAGUUUGGAUCCGAGAAGCCCUCUUCUUCAUCAGAAAUGGGACAAAGAUGAGCUGCGUGCCCAUAAUUCCACGUUUACGCUGACUCCUCCAGAGCCUCAUCAAUGAAGUAAGCAGGCAGCUGCAUUCUGGAGGGCUAGCAUGUACCGAAGGCACACAACCUCCAGAGGUGACAGAGUCAAGUCCUGGCGUGCCUGAGGCUAUCCAGGGGAACACGCGGGACAGACAGCACCCUCAGACUGUCCCCAUGACCCUCUGCUCCACUCUGAGGGGCAGGACACCAUGAGACCUCUCAGACACAGAGUCCACCCUCGACAUGACCCGGGGGAAAGGCAGGAGUGUGUGUCCUGCUUUUGCCCUCGAAGCUCCCUGAAGGGGACCCAUCUCUGCAAGCCCACAGCCCUACCUGCGGCAUCCACAGCCUCAGAGAGCAGCGGGUCCCCUUACCCCCGAACUCCCUCCAAGUGCAUCAGGACAACAAGCCUUGAGCCCUGGAGACAAGAGAAUCAGUAUCCCUGGCCCAGGGAGGAUUCCAGGAGAGGACACAGGCAGGAGCCCUGGCCCAGAGCCAGAACCAAGAGUCCAGCCAGAGGCGGCUAGAGCAUCGCCUCUUCACGCAAAUGUCUUGAAACUCAGCUUGAAGAUUUCAGCAAACGUGUCUUACAGCGAAGAGAAGAGGGAGUCAGUCCAUCGGGAUUAAAAAUAUAGAGGCAGUGACAACACACACUCGGCUUCAGUUCUUAGGAGAGUUUUGGUUUUGAUUUUUUUUUUUUUUUGGAGAAGAUUUUUUUUUAAUAGAUCUACACUGUUAACUGAGACUCUGUUGAGAUUCACUGGUUUACUUAAAAACUUCUCAGGGAUGUCUAUAAAUUUCAUUGUUAUAUGUCAUGAAAACUGGUGUGGGCGGAUCUGUUGGUUGAAAUAAUUUCUACUGUUUCAAAUACUGAAGGCAGGAAUAAUUGGUUUAUACUGUGUUUUAAAUAAAAGUAUUACUGGUAAGUCCCCCAGGACAUUAAACCUUAAAAAUCAUU